This 375-nucleotide long non-coding RNA is filed under the name Ornithorhynchus anatinus (platypus). Its description in RNAcentral is "lncRNA (ENSOANG00000046645.1)". Lineage: Eukaryota; Metazoa; Chordata; Mammalia; Monotremata; Ornithorhynchidae. The record is from RNAcentral.
CAACAGACGUGAGGCGGAGCUGGAAUUGGAAUCCAUGACCUUCUGACUCCCAGGCCUGCGCUCUAUCCACUACGCCCUGCCGCUUCUCUGCGAUGCCAUGUUGCUUCCUCUCAGACCCGCUCUGGGAUGGAGUUGGGAUGGAGAGGGACUGUGCCCGUUGGCUGACCGGUACUUUGCAAAGACAAAUAUGUCAAUACUUACUAUCAACAGACUGAUUGAAAUAUAAACCCCUGGGAAGGAAGAUUGCAAUGGAAAUCAAAGGAAUGUCAGAAAGAAAACGCAGCAGCAUGGCUUAGUUUAUGGAGCAUUGGCCUGAGAGACAGAAGAACUUGGGUUCUAAUCCCAGCUCCACUACUCAUCUACUGGGUGACCUGG